RNAcentral lists this ribosomal RNA (255 nucleotides) under uncultured bacterium. RNAcentral describes it as "partial 16S ribosomal RNA". It matches the Rfam family "Bacterial small subunit ribosomal RNA", at positions 524 to 776 of the family's 1533-position model. The record is from RNAcentral.
UACGUAGGGGUGCAAGCGUUAAUCGGAAUUACUGGGCGUAAAGCGUGCGCAGGCGGUUGUGCAAGACAGAUGUGAAAUCCCCGGGCUCAACCUGGGAAUUGCAUUUGUGACUGCACGGCUAGAGUGUGUCAGAGGGGGGUAGAAUUCCACGUGUAGCAGUGAAAUGCGUAGAGAUGUGGAGGAAUACCGAUGGCGAAGGCAGGUCUGCUGGGCUGACACUGACGCUCAUGCACGAAAGCGUGGGGAGCAAACAGG